RNAcentral lists this ribosomal RNA (403 nucleotides) under Bacteroidota bacterium. Its description in RNAcentral is "Bacteroidetes bacterium partial 16S ribosomal RNA". It matches the Rfam family "Bacterial small subunit ribosomal RNA", at positions 355 to 776 of the family's 1533-position model. Lineage: Bacteria; Pseudomonadati; Bacteroidota. The record is from RNAcentral.
UGGGGAAUCUUGCACAAUGGGGGCAACCCUGAUGCAGCGACGCCGCGUGAGCGAUGAAGGUUUUCGAAUCGUAAAGCUCUGUCCUAUGGGAAGAUAAUGACGGUACCAUAGGAGGAAGCCCCGGCUAACUACGUGCCAGCAGCCGCGGUAAUACGUAGGGGGCGAGCGUUGUCCGGAUUUAUUGGGCGUAAAGCGAGCGCAGGCGGUCAAUUAAGUCUGAUGUGAAAGCCCCCGGCUCAACCGGGGAGGGUCAUUGGAAACUGGUUGACUUGAGUGCAGAAGAGGAGAGUGAAUUCCAUGUGUAGCGGUGAAAUGCGUAGAUAUAUGGAGGAACACCGGUGGCGAAAGCGGCUCUCUGGUCUGUAACUGACGCUGAGGCUCGAAAGCGUGGGGAGCGAACAGG